This 622-nucleotide ribosomal RNA is filed under the name Acerataspis sp. DLJQ-2008. RNAcentral's name for it is "eukaryotic LSU rRNA". Lineage: Eukaryota; Metazoa; Arthropoda; Insecta; Hymenoptera; Ichneumonidae. The record is from RNAcentral.
CCUGAGAAACCCAAAAGAUCGAAUGGGGAGAUUCAUCGUCAGCGAGCAUGGCACGUGUGCGGUUCGUGAUGCACGGGGGCCCUCGGUCUCUUGGCACACGUCCGUAUGGUUUUUUGCCUCGUUCCGUCGGCGUGCACUUCUCCCCUAGUAGGACGUCGCGACCCGUUGGGUGUCGGUCUACGGCCCGGGCGGGUGACUGUCAUGUGUUAAGCUUAACGGCGCCAUGUGGCAGACCCCCGGUUGUCUGACCAGCUGCUCGGCGGUACUCGCACGGUAUCGAGUCGCAAAUAUUCGAACUGCGUCCGGCCCGCCGCAAGCGGGCCAGUGUUUCCCGGAUGUACGGACCCAGAGCCGUCACCGGGCCUGGUCGGCUGUUGGCCGGCGGUGUCCUUGGACUGGCUCUUUUAUUAUGAUACCGGUCGGCGACGCUACUGCUUUGGGUACUUUCAGGACCCGUCUUGAAACACGGACCAAGGAGUCUAACAUGUGCGCGAGUCAUUGGGAACUCUUAAGCCUAAAGGCGCAAUGAAAGUGAAGGUCGGCCUUGCGCCGACCGAGGGAGGAUGGGCCGCGUCACGAUGCGGUCCCGCACUCCCGGGGCGUCUCGUUCUCAUUGCGAGAA